UACGUAGGGAGCAAGCGUUGUCCGGAUUUACUGGGUGUAAAGGGUGCGUAGGCGGCUCUGCAAGUCAGGUGUGAAAACCAUGGGCUUAACUCAUGGAUUGCAUUUGAAACUGUGGAGCUUGAGUGAAGUAGAGGCAGGCGGAAUUCCCGGUGUAGCGGUGAAAUGCGUAGAGAUCGGGAGGAACACCAGUGGCGAAGGCGGCCUGCUGGGCUUUAACUGACGCUGAGGCACGAAAGCAUGGGUAGCAAAC
RNAcentral lists this ribosomal RNA (250 nucleotides) under uncultured bacterium. RNAcentral describes it as "partial 16S ribosomal RNA". It matches the Rfam family "Bacterial small subunit ribosomal RNA", at positions 524 to 773 of the family's 1533-position model. The record is from RNAcentral.